GCCUAGGAAUCUGCCUGGUAGUGGGGGAUAACGCUCGGAAACGGACGCUAAUACCGCAUACGUCCUACGGGAGAAAGCAGGGGACCUUCGGGCCUUGCGCUAUCAGAUGAGCCUAGGUCGGAUUAGCUAGUUGGUGAGGUAAUGGCUCACCAAGGCGACGAUCCGUAACUGGUCUGAGAGGAUGAUCAGUCACACUGGAACUGAGACACGGUCCAGACUCCUACGGGAGGCAGCAGUGGGGAAUAUUGGACAAUGGGCGAAAGCCUGAUCCAGCCAUGCCGCGUGUGUGAAGAAGGUCUUCGGAUUGUAAAGCACUUUAAGUUGGGAGGAAGGGCAUUUACCUAAUACGUAAGUGUUUUGACGUUACCGACAGAAUAAGCACCGGCUAACUCUGUGCCAGCAGCCGCGGUAAUACAGAGGGUGCAAGCGUUAAUCGGAAUUACUGGGCGUAAAGCGCGCGUAGGUGGUUUGUUAAGUUGGAUGUGAAAUCCCCGGGCUCAACCUGGGAACUGCAUUCAAAACUGACAAGCUAGAGUAUGGUAGAGGGUGGUGGAAUUUCCUGUGUAGCGGUGAAAUGCGUAGAUAUAGGAAGGAACACCAGUGGCGAAGGCGACCACCUGGACUGAUACUGACACUGAGGUG
This 642-nucleotide ribosomal RNA is filed under the name Pseudomonas prosekii. Its description in RNAcentral is "bacterial SSU rRNA". It matches the Rfam family "Bacterial small subunit ribosomal RNA", at positions 115 to 753 of the family's 1533-position model. Lineage: Bacteria; Pseudomonadati; Pseudomonadota; Gammaproteobacteria; Pseudomonadales; Pseudomonadaceae. The record is from RNAcentral.